Molecule: ribosomal RNA, 805 nt
Filed under: uncultured eukaryote
Lineage: Eukaryota
Description: bacterial SSU rRNA
Rfam family: Eukaryotic small subunit ribosomal RNA
Source: RNAcentral
GUAAAGCUCGUAGUUGGAUUUUUGUCAAAGUUAGUUAGUCCGCUCUAUGAGUGCGAAUUUGACAAUACUUAGACAUCUCUGCUCGUUUUGAAGGAGUGCUUGAUUGCACUGCUUCUUACGCGUAGCAUUUACUUUGAGGAAAUUAGAGUGUUUUCGGCAGGCUAACGUCUUGCGUAAAGUAGCAUGGGAUAAUGAGAAAAGAUAGGAGUGCCCUCUUGCUGGUUGUAAAACUUUCUGUGGUGGUAAAUAGGGAUAGUUGGGGGCAUUUGUAUUAACGCGUCAGAGGUGGAAUUCUUGGAUUGCGUUACGACACCCUAUUGCGAAAGCACUUGCCAAAGAUGUUUUCAUUGAUCAAGAACGAAAGUAUGGGGAUCGAAGAUGAUUAGAUACCGUCGUAGUCUAUACCAUAAACUAUGCCUACUAGGGAUUGGAUGGAGUUGUACUCGACUUAUCCAGCACCUAUUGAGAAAUUAAAGUCUUUGGGUUCCGGGGGGAGUAUGGUCGCAAGACUGAAACUUAAAGGAAUUGACGGAAGGGCACCACCAGGAGUGGAGCCUGCGGCUUAAUUUGACUCAACACGGGGAAACUCACCAGGUCCAGACAUAGUGAGGAUUGACAGAUUGGUAGGUUUUUCAAGAUUCUACGGGUGGUGGUGCAUGGCCGUUCUUAGUUGGUGGAGUGAUUUGUCUGGUUAAUUCCGUUAACGAACGAGACCUUGACCUGCUAAAUAGUGAACUCUUUUUUAGGAAAGAGAAACACUUCUUAGAGGGACUUUGCGAAUUAAAGCGCAAUGAAGCACGAGGCA